GGGGAAGCCGGUGCCAAUCCGGCGCUGACCCCGCAACCGUGAGCCCGGCCGCCACCCGAUCGGGUGGCGGCCGGGCGAGCCGGACCU
RNAcentral lists this non-coding RNA (87 nucleotides) under Streptomyces rubellomurinus. The record is from RNAcentral. Lineage: Bacteria; Bacillati; Actinomycetota; Actinomycetes; Kitasatosporales; Streptomycetaceae.